RNAcentral lists this unclassified non-coding RNA (561 nucleotides) under Hevea brasiliensis (rubber tree). Lineage: Eukaryota; Viridiplantae; Streptophyta; Magnoliopsida; Malpighiales; Euphorbiaceae. The record is from RNAcentral.
CAAACGAUCUGUCAAAAUGAUUCUGUUGUAGUGGCACCACAGCAAACUAAUAACCAACCAAGAAAAUUGAAAAUGAGUGUAACUAUUUCUGAAAACAAUUAGAAAUGUCAUAACCCCCCAGAAGCAGUAGUACUUGGAAUGCUCUGCAAAAACUUGCUCCUUGCAACAGGAUCUGUUGAAAAUCGACCGAGUACUGCAAUUGUAGCUGUAUUACUUCCGAACUUCUCAAUACCUCUAGAAAUCAUACAAGUAUGGUUAGCCUCCACAACUACCAUCACAUCUCCAACUAAAAAUGAUGCAACGGUCUCUGCAAUCUGCCUGGUAAGCCUUUCCUGCACUUGGAGCUUGAAACCAUAAAAAUGGACUAUUGACUGUAGAAAAGAUUUUCCAAUGGGGUUGAAUCCCUCAGCACGGAAGUAACCAAUAUGCACAACACCAUAAAAGGGUAGCAAAUGAUGCUCGCACUGAGACCAGAAUGACAAGUUCAACUCAGAAUGUAUAUGUUCUUUGUUAUGGCUGAUGUCCCCACUGGCUUUAAGGGUAUCUGUCUUGCCACAGCCA